AAAACGUGUGUCACACGGCGAAAGCGGGAGAGUUGGCAGCUCUGUAUCCUGUUACCAUUAUCCCGGUCGUGACUUGUUUCAUGCAUCAGAUCAGUGCAGAAGACGUAGGAGAUGAUAAAACAGCAGCUACUUUAGUAAACUAUUGAGAUGUAAGCACACCUGCCGGCCCAGCUCUCUAGUGUUGAUCACAGUAGUGCGGGGGUAAGUCGCUCUGGAUAAAAGCGUCUGCUAAAUGACCAAACUGUCAUUACAAACAUUGUAACAUCUUCAGUGACAUAAACGGGCAAACUGACUCUACAUCCUGUUUAUCUCGAGAUUUCUAAAGGUGAAAUUCAAAAGAAGGUAGUCAGCUUGUUUUCCCUAUUUGUAAAAUUAUGUUAUGCAACGUUUAGAAACAGAUGUUGUCUUGCAUGCAACUACUCCACUAUGCGAUGAUGUCAUCGAUAAACGGACGCGCAUGCAUGCCACAUGGAAUGUUCUCUAUGCACCACGCUUGUUUAUGUUGCAAACAUAAAAAACGCGUAAAGCACCGGGCAUUCAACGAUGACAGCUUGUCAAAUCGGCCAUUUAUACGUGUUAUGCAUUAGGUUAUUAAAUGUGGACUGUCGAAGCUUAUUUCUAAUAUCCACACCUUUGUUUUGACCUCCAUAACAUUCCGAGUCGCCUGAAGCAUUGUGGGUACGAUGAUUUGUAAACUAGACGCUGUUCGGCUGCAUAGAAAACCCGGCAGGAUCAACUAUUUGAAUUUGAAUCAUGUGGCCAGGCAAGGGAGUAGCGUCCAGCUGUAUCCCAGGAGCCAGGCCUCUCGCUAAAAGAGUCCCUGGUUAAACUGGCCCCUCAGCAAAACAUUGCCACACCUACUGACACGUAAUUUCCUUUUAUUUUGGCGUCUGUUACGGCUCAGAAGGAAGUGAUUACCAGCACAAGAGAUGUGCAAAAUCAAUGAUGAGACCUUCAUGCUGCCCAUCUCUGCAUGAUUGAAGAAGGCAUUGGAGCUCCGCCGGGUCUUUUUAAAUAUGUCGUGUGGGGAAACAGCUUUUUUCACCCUAUUUGUCCAACUUAUCACCUCUAAAAUGUAAAUAAAACACUAUAAAGAGUUUAUAUAAUGUCUCAUUACAUACCUA
Long non-coding RNA from Coregonus clupeaformis (lake whitefish), 1124 nucleotides. RefSeq lists it as uncharacterized. Lineage: Eukaryota; Metazoa; Chordata; Actinopteri; Salmoniformes; Salmonidae. The transcript is spliced from 3 exons. The record is from RefSeq and is a predicted model, not a curated record.